GGCAAACGUACAGAUUUCUGUUGCUUUGCAGGCACUGGAACACAUAGCAGUCUCAUAACAAUGCUGUAAUUCAGUUUUUGAAAAGGCCUUGAGUGUCUGCUGACAUGUUUUGGGCUCUUUUCUGUAAGUAAGAAGUCUUUUGGUUGCUGUAGCAGUGAGUGUGAAUAAAUGAAAAGGUAAUGACUUCUUAUAUCCUCUUAUAUUACAUGUGGAGGCUUAGAAACUAUCCUCAGUAUUACUUAAAACUAUGUAACAGUAUGUGUUUAUCAUUUGGUGUUUACAAGAUCUCAAUAAGGAAGCAAGUUUUCCCUGUAUUUUAGCAUUUUGGGGGAGAAAGAAAGAGAGAAGGGAAAAUAGGACCUUCAGUAUAAAGGACUCAUGAAGGCAAAAUUCAGAGCUUAGUGUCUGGAUUCAUAUUCCAGGCCAACCUGAAAAUCAGUUGAGGGAGUCAUCCCUGCGUUUGAUUUUAUGACAUCAUUUGCUGUUCACAGGUUCCCAAGUUGUUUUCUGUUUGUUUGAAAUGAUAGAAGAGUAGUUCAAAGUGUUCUAAUAUAUUCCAAGAAAAGUGCCUUCAUUAUUUUGAAAAAAAAUUGCUAGUACAGUCUGUGGCUGAUUUCAUCAUAAUUUCUAUUUUCCUUCUUCUGAUUGGACAUCCAGAUCAUUCCUCUUUUAUGUAUUCUCCUGCCACACGUCCUACCAGCUUACAUUAGAAAGUCUCCCUUCUGGUAGUUGCCAGACUCAAGACCUGUUCGCACAGAAGUUUGGGAACACGUGCAGUGCUGGUUGUGCAGGUGAUCAAGUGAGAACAUGACAAAUGCCCUGUGACUUGUGUAACCUGGAUCACCAGCUCUCACUGAAGGACAAUGGUGGCUGCAACUCUGCACAUGCUGAGAGUGGCUGCAGGCAGUAUCCAGGGGAUGGGUCCAGAGCUGUCAUCCACUUGGCUUAGAAUUAUGAGCCUGGAAACAUAAAUCUUGAUGUCUUUGAAGAUCAGUGCAGGAUUUUCUUACCUGUGCAUCAUGAUAUCUCAGGUAUAAAUAUUCAAAAAUUUGGGAUGAUGUGGAGAGUUAUAUGAAGAUUUUGAAGUGAAGAUUAAAGAACAGGUUUUCACCCAGGGACAGAGGACAGUUAAACAGAAGCCAGAAACCAGUCUAUUGGCAUCUGAAUGACGCUACUGAGAUGCUGCAUACAGAGCAAUAGAGCAAGCACGUCAGAAGCCAUUAAUACUCUCUCCUAGAGAACUGACUCAGUUCUCUUCUAUUUGUUUGAGAAAGAUAAAGCUUUGAAUUUGAGUUCCCAUAUACCUGUGUGCAGCAUGGGUGGAUAUUUAGAGCCCUUCUCAUUUGCCUUCAUCUGCUCUGGUGGUUUCAGAAAGGAGAGCUCAAGAAGUCCCUGUAAUACCUUUGGAUGAAGUAGAUUCUGAAAACAAAAUAGGACAAAAUCAUUAUGAGGAGAAGAGAAAGAACAAAGCCCAUCCGUCACCAGAUAAGAUUUGCUUCGCUUACAUCUGAGAGAAAACUUCAGCUUUCUGGAGGUCUGGAUGGGAGCCAGAAGAACAAAAGCACAUCAGAAUAAAACCCACAACAAAUAUUUAAUUGAAUAUUUUAUACUGGGAUGAGCAGAAAGGAUGGUGACUGUUCAACUGCAAAACUUCAAUUGGAUCAAGUGUAAAGAUGCUGAUUGAAGCACUGACUGAAAGCUUUGCCUGUUCUGAUGACUCUAUAUAAAACCUCUGAAUAAAAACCAUAUAUUUCA
Numida meleagris (helmeted guineafowl) is the source of this 1755-nucleotide long non-coding RNA. RefSeq lists it as uncharacterized. The record is from RefSeq and is a predicted model, not a curated record. The transcript is spliced from 8 exons. Lineage: Eukaryota; Metazoa; Chordata; Aves; Galliformes; Numididae.